Long non-coding RNA from Vespa velutina, 809 nucleotides. RefSeq lists it as uncharacterized. The record is from RefSeq and is a predicted model, not a curated record. NCBI's taxonomy places the organism in Eukaryota, Metazoa, Arthropoda, Insecta, Hymenoptera, Vespidae. The transcript is spliced from 3 exons.
ACUUUGAUUAUGUUACUAGUCCGUGCCGUAAUGGUUAUUUCCUUCGGCUUGACGAAGGGUAUAGCCAUUCCUUGCCAUUCUACGUGUUCUUUAAUAUAAUUGUUCUUUGCAGCGUCUUUAAGGAAGUCGGAUCCGUUCAUUCCGCCAUGUGGGAUAGGGAAGGAGUCGGGUACAACGUAGAAUUCUACGGGGUAUCCGUAAAUGUCAACAAUUCAAACACCCAUCUUUAAAGAAAUCGGAUCUGAUUAUGCCGCCAUGCGAAAUGUGAAAGGAGUCGGGAACAAUAUGGAAUACUACGGGGUAUCCGUAAAUGUCAAUGGUGCAAGAACCGUCUUUUGAAGUGAUGACGACACAAGGUGAACUCGAAUCGUUUUUUAAUCGGACUGUGCAAACCUAUUUGGUUCGUCUGUUCUUACUGUCAUUAUUUGACGCGUUUGCGCGUUUACCACUGAGGUCGCGUCUUUCGACGAAGAGUGAUUUGCGUUUUCUAACUAGCGUUCUUGUCACAUCUUCUUGCGACAUUCGUCGAUCGUGUCCAUAAUUUUUGCAAUAUCGUUAUUCCUUUGGAUAGUUAGGAGAACGGGAAGGUGCUACAGUAGGAUGAGUGUGAGGUAGUCAAAGGGGAGCCGGAUGAUAUAUUCUAUGGGUAGGAGUUGAGUUACGCUAUUGUGAAUCAUGUGUAUUUCUGCAGCAUUUGUCACAUGACAUUUUUAUACAACAAUUAUAAAAACAUUUCCUGACAUAAUACCAUUAUAAAAACGUUUCUAUACUACUAUUAUAGAAACAUUUCCUUAUAUAUUAUAAAAAUC